AAAAUGCAAAUCUUCCUGAAAACCCUGACCGGCAAGACCAUCACCCUGGAGGUGGAGCCAAGUGACAUCCUCCAAAAUGUGAAGGCCAAGAUCCAUGUUAAAGAGGGCAUCCCCCCUGACCAGCACAGUCUCAUCUUUGUAGGCAAGCAGUUAGAAGAUGGCUGCACUGUUUGUGACUACAACAUUCAGAAAGAGUCAGCCCUGCACCUGGUCCUCCAUCUGAGGGGUGGCUAUUAAUUCU
Molecule: long non-coding RNA, 241 nt
Filed under: Homo sapiens (human)
Lineage: Eukaryota; Metazoa; Chordata; Mammalia; Primates; Hominidae
Description: non-protein coding lnc-MMADHC-9:1
Source: RNAcentral